AGGGCGUACGGGGGAUGCCUAGGCUUCAAGAGGCGAAGAAAGACGUGGUAAGCUGCGAAAAGCUGCGGGGAUUUGCACACAAGAGUUGAUCCGCAGAUGUCUGAAUGGGGCAACCCACUAUACGAAGAGUGUAGUAUUCUUUUAGGUUACUAGAAGAAGGCGAACCUUCCGAACUGAAACAUCUAAGUAGGAAGAGGAAAAGAAAUCAAAAGAGAUUCCGAGAGUAGUGGCGAGCGAAAUUGGAAGAGCCCAAAAGUUUUUAUAUUUUUAGUAGAAUUAGCUGGGAAGCUAACCCGUAGGAGGUGAGAGGCCUGUAUACGAAAAGGAUAUAAAGAUGAACAAAAGAGUAGGGCGGGACACGAGAAAUCCUGUUUGAACAAGGGGGGACCAUCCUCCAAGGCUAAAUACUCCUUGAAGACCGAUAGCGAACAAGUACCGUGAGGGAAAGGUGAAAAGUAUCUCAAGAAGAGAGGUGAAAUAGAACCUGAAACCGUACGCUUACAAGCGGUCGGAGCAUCUAUAAGAUGUGACGGCGUGCCUUUUGCAUAAUGAGCCUACGAGUUAAUGUCACUAGCAAGGUUAAGCACUUCAGGUGCGGAGCCGAAGCGAAAGCGAGUCUGAAUAGGGCGGUUUAGUUAGUGGUAUUAGACGCGAAACCUAGUGAUCUACCCAUGGGCAGGUUGAAGCUUUGGUAACACAAAGUGGAGGACCGAACCGGUUGACGUUGAAAAGUCUUCGGAUGACCUGUGGGUAGGGGUGAAAGGCUAAUCAAACUAGGAGAUAGCUCGUACUCCCCGAAAUGCAUUUAGGUGCAGCGUUAGUUUGAGUAUAUUAGAGGUAGAGCUACUGAUAGGAUGCGGGGGUUUCACCGCCUACCAAGUCCUGACAAACUCCGAAUGCUAAUAUAUGUUGACUAGCAGUGAGGGCAUGGGUGCUAAGGUCCAUGUCCGAGAGGGAAACAACCCAGAGCAACCGCUAAGGUCCCCAAAUGUAUACUAAGUUGAUCAAACGAGGUUCGAUUGCCCAGACAGCUAGGAUGUUGGCUUGGAAGCAGCCAUUCAUUUAAAGAGUGCGUAACAGCUCACUAGUCGAGCGAUCGAGCAUGGAUAAUAAUCGGGCAUCAAGUAUACUACCGAAGCGAUGCACUUUUAUACUUACGGGUAUAAAAUUGGUAGGGGAGCAUUCUGUUUGCGGCGAAGGAGUCUGGCGAUGGAUUUUGGAGCGAACAGAAAAGAAAAUGUAGGCAUAAGUAACGAGAAUGGGGGUUAGAUUCCCCCACGCCGUAAAUCUAAGGUUUCCUCAGCGAUGCAAAACAACUGAGGGUUAGUCGGGACCUAAGGCGCAGCCGAAAGGCGAGAGUCGAUGGAAAAUCGGUUAAUAUUCCGAUACUUGUUAUAAAUUCGAUUGGAGUGACAAAGUAGUGAAACUGCCGCGUACGGACGGAAGUAGUACGUUUAAGGUCAAAGGUAAAUCUUUAAUAGUAAAAUGCGUUAGAGAUGCUGAAGGCUGAAAGUACCACGAGGCUUCGGCUGGUUGGAUAGCGCAGGUAAUGGCUUUCAAGAAAAACUUCUAAGGCUUAAGUUUAUAACAACUCGUACCAAAACCGACACAGGUGGAUAAGGAGAGUAUCCUAAGGCGCUCGAGAGAAUCAUGGUUAAGGAACUAGGCAAAAUAGACCUGUAACUUCGGGAGAAAGGUCGCUUAUCUAGCGAUAGGUAAGCCGCAGCGAAGAGGCCCAGGCGACUGUUUAACAAAAACACAGGACUCUGCAAAAUCGAAAGAUGAAGUAUAGGGUCUGACACCUGCCCGGUGCUGGAAGGUUAAGAGAGGUUGUUAGAAAUAUUUAUAUUUCGAAGCAAUUAAUUGAAGCCCCAGUAAACGGCGGCCGUAACAAUAACGGUCCUAAGGUAGCGAAAUUCCUUGUCGGGUAAGUUCCGACCUGCACGAAUGGUGUAACGAUCUGGGCACUGUCUCAACCAUGAUCUCGGUGAAAUUGUAGUAUCGGUGAAGAUGCCGAUUACCCGCAAUGGGACGAAAAGACCCUGUGAACCUUUACUAUAGCUUCGUAUUGACUUUUGGUAAUUAAUGUGUAGGAUAGGUGGGAGACGUUGAAUUGUCCUCGUUAGGGGAUAAGGAGUCGCCGUUGAAAUACCACCCUUUAAUUACUGGGAGCCUAACUUUGAUUAAAUUUGAAGGACAUUGCGUGGUGGGUAGUUUGACUGGGGUGGUCGCCUCCAAAAGAGUAACGGAGGCUUUCAAAGGUACCCUCAGCACGCUUGGUAACCGUGCGUAGAGUGUAAUGGCAUAAGGGUGCUUGACUGCGAGACCAACAAGUCGAGCAGGUGCGAAAGCAGGACAUAGUGAUCCGGUGGUUCCGUAUGGAAGGGCCAUCGCUCAAAGGAUAAAAGGUACUCCGGGGAUAACAGGCUAGUCUCCCCCAAGAGCUCACAUCGACGGGGAGGUUCGGCACCUCGAUGUCGGCUCGUCACAUCCUGGGGCUGGAGAAGGUCCCAAGGGUUGGGCUGUUCGCCCAUUAAAGUGGCACGCGAGCUGGGUUCAGAACGUCGUGAGACAGUUCGGUCUCUAUCUAUUGCGGGCGUUAGAAUUUUGAGCGGAGUUGACUCUAGUACGAGAGGACCGAGUUGAACAAACCUCUGGUGUAUCAGUUGUACCGCCAGGUGCACCGCUGAGUAGCUAAGUUUGGAAGAGAUAAGCACUGAAAGCAUAUAAGUGCGAAACUCGCCGCAAGAAUAGAAUUCU
This 2760-nucleotide ribosomal RNA is filed under the name Leptomastix dactylopii. RNAcentral describes it as "bacterial LSU rRNA". It matches the Rfam family "Bacterial large subunit ribosomal RNA". Lineage: Eukaryota; Metazoa; Arthropoda; Insecta; Hymenoptera; Encyrtidae. The record is from RNAcentral.